GGGAACCAAGGUCAGUGUGGGCUUCUCACUCAAAGUAGGUCAGCUAAUCUCUGAGGAGGACAUGCUUUCCUGCCUCCCACAGCCAGCGUCCCGGGAGAACUCCACCCUCAUUUUUCAAGGCCUCACGAUUAGCUACAGAAAGGAGCUUUUGCAGUUGGAUUCUGUUGGUUUGGUUUUCUGUUUUGAAAGAAGACUCAGUCUGCUGCUGAGAAUGACCUUGAACUUCUGACCCUCCCGCAUCUACCUCCCAAGAGCUAGGAUUACAGGUAGACCUCAGCUGUAUAAGGAUGCCACCUAAGACCAGCCUGAGUAGCCAGUUCCAACAUGGUUUCCACUUCAAGCUCUUGCUUCAGGUUCUUUCCCUGCCAUCCUCAGUGAUGGAGUGAGACUUGGAAGUAUCAGCCAAAUAAAUCCCUUCCUCCCGAAAGUUGCCUUUUGUCAU
This 442-nucleotide long non-coding RNA is filed under the name Cricetulus griseus (Chinese hamster). RNAcentral describes it as "lncRNA (ENSCGRG00015036607.1)". The record is from RNAcentral. Lineage: Eukaryota; Metazoa; Chordata; Mammalia; Rodentia; Cricetidae.